AAUGUUUUAAGUUAAUUAAAACUAAUGGCCUUCAAAGCCAUAAAUGGGACCUGCCCAAACAUUA
This 64-nucleotide transfer RNA is filed under the name Eochionelasmus ohtai. Its description in RNAcentral is "tRNA-Trp". The record is from RNAcentral. Lineage: Eukaryota; Metazoa; Arthropoda; Thecostraca; Balanomorpha; Pachylasmatidae.